This 77-nucleotide ribosomal RNA is filed under the name Thermoanaerobacterium butyriciformans. Its description in RNAcentral is "partial 16S ribosomal RNA". It matches the Rfam family "Bacterial small subunit ribosomal RNA", at positions 1 to 77 of the family's 1533-position model. Lineage: Bacteria; Bacillati; Bacillota; Clostridia; Thermoanaerobacterales; Thermoanaerobacteraceae. The record is from RNAcentral.
AAACAUGAGAGUUUGAUCCUGGCUCAGGACGAACGCUGGCGGCGUGCCUAACACAUGCAAGUCGAGCGAAGGGAGUA